GCCCGGAUGGCGAAAUUGGUAGACGCAAGAGACUUAAAAUCUCUCGGAGGUAACUCCGUGCCGGUUCAAGUCCGGCUCCGGGCACCA
RNAcentral lists this transfer RNA (87 nucleotides) under Vreelandella venusta. Its description in RNAcentral is "tRNA-Leu". It matches the Rfam family "tRNA". Rfam says of the family: Transfer RNA (tRNA) molecules are approximately 80 nucleotides in length. Their secondary structure includes four short double-helical elements and three loops (D, anti-codon, and T loops). Lineage: Bacteria; Pseudomonadati; Pseudomonadota; Gammaproteobacteria; Oceanospirillales; Halomonadaceae. The record is from RNAcentral. RNAcentral also lists the same sequence under 60 other names.